ACGAGCGGCGAGAGGGGUGAGUAGUGUCUGGGACUGUGCCUGAUGGAGGGAGAUAUCUACUGGAAACUGUCUCUAAUACCGCAUAAUCUCCACAGACCAAUGUGGGAGACCUUCGGGCCUCGCGCCCUCAUAUGUGCCCAUAUGGUAUUAUCUAAUAUGUGGGGUAGUGGCUCACCUACGCCACUAUCCCUAUCUGGUCUGAGAAGAUGACCCCCCACACUGGAUCUGACACACGGUCCACACUCCUACGGGAGGCCGCUGUGGGGAAUAUUGCACUGUGGGCGCACCCCUGAUGCCCCCGUGCCGCGUGUGUGAAAAACGCCUUCGUUUUGUAACACUUUUUCCGCGAAGAAGAGGGGUUGUGUGUUAAUAACACUUUUCUUUGACUUUACUCACAAAAAACACCCCCUCUAUCUCCGUGCCCACCCCCGCUGUUAUACAGAGGGUGCACGCUUUUCUCAAAUUUACUGCGCGUAACGCACACACGCGCUUUUUUUUAUCUCAUAUGUGAUCUCCCCGCUCUU
Molecule: ribosomal RNA, 524 nt
Filed under: soil bacterium Cycl-S1P-M1LLLSSL-3
Lineage: Bacteria
Description: partial 16S ribosomal RNA
Rfam family: Bacterial small subunit ribosomal RNA
Source: RNAcentral